UACGAAGGGGGCUAGCGUUGCUCGGAAUUACUGGGCGUAAAGCGCACGUAGGCGGCUUCUUAAGUCGGUGGUGAAAUCCUGGAGCUCAACUCCAGAACUGCCUUCGAUACUGGGAAGCUCGAGUCCGGGAGAGGUGAGUGGAACUGCGAGUGUAGAGGUGAAAUGCGUAGAUAUCGAGAGGAACACCUGCGGCGAAGGCGGGUUGCUGGGCUGACACUGACGCUAAGGCGCGAAAGCUAGGGGAGCGAACGGG
RNAcentral lists this ribosomal RNA (253 nucleotides) under uncultured bacterium. RNAcentral describes it as "partial 16S ribosomal RNA". It matches the Rfam family "Bacterial small subunit ribosomal RNA", at positions 524 to 776 of the family's 1533-position model. The record is from RNAcentral.